Molecule: ribosomal RNA, 429 nt
Filed under: Actinomycetes bacterium
Lineage: Bacteria; Bacillati; Actinomycetota; Actinomycetes
Description: Actinobacteria bacterium partial 16S ribosomal RNA
Rfam family: Bacterial small subunit ribosomal RNA
Source: RNAcentral
UAGGGAAUCUUCCGCAAUGGGCGAAAGCCUGACGGAGCAACGCCGCGUGAGUGAUGAAGGUCUUCGGAUCGUAAAUCUCUGUUAUUAGGGAAGAACAAAUGUGUAAGUAACUAUGCACGUCUUGACGGUACCUAAUCAGAAAGCCACGGCUAACUACGUGCCAGCAGCCGCGGUAAUACGUAGGUGGCAAGCGUUAUCCGGAAUUAUUGGGCGUAAAGCGCGCGUAGGCGGUUUUUUAAGUCUGAUGUGAAAGCCCACGGCUCAACCGUGGAAGGUCAUUGGAAACUGGAAAACUUGAGUGCAGAAGAGGAAAGUGGAAUUCCAUGUGUAGCGGUGAAAUGCGCAGAGAUAUGGAGGAACACCAGUGGCGAAGGCGACUUUCUGGUCUGUAACUGACGCUGAUGUGCGAAAGCGUGGGGAUCAAACAGG